GCUAUGUUUAUAAGUGCUUGCCAGCAGAAGAAGGAUCAGUCUGAGUUUUGGUAUUUGCGGGGUAUUUCUUUACUGUGCAUGAUUUAAUCUCAUUGGUUUUUUUUUAUCCAUAGAUCAUAGGACCUCCUGGACCUCCAGGGCCACAUGGUCCUCCAGGCCCUAUGGGACCUCAUGGCCUGCCUGGCCCAAAGCACCACUUACUAAUCUCACGUUCUUGUCACCCGUGUCGUACCCAUCAUCCAUGCUUCCACCUAACUACACAGGGAGCAUCUGGCUUAGACGGAAAGCCAGGACCCCGGGUGAGUCCCUUGUCUUUCCAUGUCACUGUGUUACUGAGGCUAUGUGCGUCCCAGCACACACAGUCCGGAGGAAUGAAGGCCACGCAUCGCAGACAUCUUCCAUGCUCUGUCACAGGGGCUUCAAGCAGCCUCCUAGGGCAGUGUGUGGGGGAAAGAGAAUGUGAUUUGCAGCAGAAGGAGGCUCUGAGCCUUAGAAAUCUUGAUAUUUGGUGGAUAACUGCUGCACAGCCUGCGCUGGUUGGGAUCUUGCUUUCCUGAGUAAGGUUAGGGAUUUGGUUUACAUAGGAAAGCAUACUUGUUUUGUGCUAAUAUGGAAUCGGUGANAAUAGGGUAGGGCUCUUGAUCUUUAACUAUGAGUCUGUCAUCUUUAACAACCUACUGUGAACAUGUACAACAACAAAGCAUAAGUGAUACCUUACACUAACUAAAACCUCCACAGAGAUCCCAGCUCAGAAUUACGUCUCUUUGAAUUUCUCAGUUUAACAAAACAGCUGUGUUGAAAUGACGUCAGACUGCAUUAGGGGCACAGCCAUAUGGCUCAGCUCCAGUUAGCUCAAACAGCAGUACAUCGGACAAAGGUAUGCGUGACUCGAGCAUUCAUUUCUACAGAGCUGUUUGUUGGGGAAU
Molecule: long non-coding RNA, 926 nt
Filed under: Pavo cristatus (Indian peafowl)
Lineage: Eukaryota; Metazoa; Chordata; Aves; Galliformes; Phasianidae
Description: lncRNA (ENSPSTG00000008924.1)
Source: RNAcentral